Non-coding RNA from Acanthosepion pharaonis, 107 nucleotides. NCBI's taxonomy places the organism in Eukaryota, Metazoa, Mollusca, Cephalopoda, Sepiida, Sepiidae. The record is from the annotation of a GenBank genome assembly.
CGCAUCACGUUGAAACACAUGUUCCCGUUCGAUCCCCAAAGUUAAGCAGCGUCGAGCCUGGUCAGUAUCUAAAUGGGUGACUGUUUGGGAAUACCAGGUGCUGUAAG